This 467-nucleotide ribosomal RNA is filed under the name uncultured bacterium. RNAcentral describes it as "bacterial SSU rRNA". It matches the Rfam family "Bacterial small subunit ribosomal RNA", at positions 28 to 503 of the family's 1533-position model. The record is from RNAcentral.
GAUGAACGCUGGCGGCGUGCUUAACACAUGCAAGUCGAACGGGAUCCCAGGAGCUUGCUCCUGGGUGAGAGUGGCGAACGGGUGAGUAAUGCGUGACCGACCUGCCCCAUACACCGGAAUAGCUCCUGGAAACGGGUGGUAAUGCCGGAUGCUCCAGUUGACCGCAUGGUCCUCUGGGAAAGCUUUUGCGGUAUGGGAUGGGGUCGCGUCCUAUCAGCUUGAUGGCGGGGUAACGGCCCACCAUGGCUUCGACGGGUAGCCGGCCUGAGAGGGCGACCGGCCACAUUGGGACUGAGAUACGGCCCAGACUCCUACGGGAGGCAGCAGUGGGGAAUAUUGCACAAUGAGCGCAAGCCUGAUGCAGCGACGCCGCGUGCGGGAUGACGGCCUUCGGGUUGUAAACCGCUUUUGACUGGGAGCAAGCCCUUCGGGGUGAGUGUACCUUUCGAAUAAGCACCGGCUAACUA